GAUGGAGGAACUGGCGAAGUAGGGUCCUCGCAUCCACUUCACACGAUUUGGCCCGAAAAUGGCGGCGAAAUGUUUUGGCAAAACAACCUGGCAUUUUUGUUUCACAACACUCUGUUCACUUUGUUGUCGACUUUGCCUGCUGACUGACAUACAUCAAUACACAUGUAUAUAUCAUGAUACUACGUGUACAUACAUACAUACAUACAUACUCGCUGUCCCGAAAAUGGCGGUCAUGCGAGGACCUUACUUCGCCAGUUCCUCCAUCUAUCGACCUUGCGUAUGUACAGUAAGUAUAUCCAGUAUCGACACUGGAUCCCUGGUCACAUGACUCGCCGCCAUGUUGAGGGUAGGAUAGGCGCUUGUUAUGACAAUUAAGCUUAGAACAUACCGCCGUAUAGUUAGCAGACAAAUAUGAUAAAUCUUUUUUUUUAUUAAUGCCGUCUGAAAAUACGUGUGACGCACACUAAGAAAGCGCGUCACUUAUAAACUUUCUCGCGUAUAGGUGAGGUGUUCCGAUAACUAUUUUGCUCGCUUGUGUUUACCUCACCUACAACCGGCAUUGUGUAAGCGACCCGAUCGUUGUGUGCGAUCACACGGGUAUUCGGACGGCA
This is a long non-coding RNA of Ooceraea biroi (clonal raider ant), 611 nucleotides long. RefSeq lists it as uncharacterized. The record is from RefSeq and is a predicted model, not a curated record. NCBI's taxonomy places the organism in Eukaryota, Metazoa, Arthropoda, Insecta, Hymenoptera, Formicidae.